CCCCAACCUCUAGUGCAGGUUCCACCAAUUGCAAAUCAUGACUGGACAAAUACUCUGCUCUCAGCCCAGCUUUGGAGAGCUGCUUCACCCUCCUUUUCAACCUCUCCGACUCUUCGAGGGUUCUACUCACUAACAAACUUCCGGUCUUCUUCCAUCCCAACACCUCUAACGGAUUCGAGCCCUGAUAACGGAUGUUCUCGGCAAGCAUCGCCCACAGUUUGUGGCUUCUCAUAGUGAGGUCCCAUGUAUCACUCUCCGGCGACUUGUGCACCAUCCAUAUGUAGCCCUGCCCUGCACCAGUGGCGCCAGAGCACGGGAUGGCUUUGUCAACGACUGCGACAGAUAGGUCCGAGCCAAUCAGAAACUGCCGGGCAAUAGUUAACCCUACGAUUCCGGCACCAAUGAUCACGACAUCGAAGUUGUGAGUAGAAGCUGUGAUAAAGGUUUUGGGUCGGCGUUUUUGGGUAUUUCGAUCAAAGAAUGAAAGUGGUUUCACAGGCACUUUGGAGCCAAAGAAGCUAGAUUUGAAUGUGGCGGCACUUAUAUCCCCCCUUGGAAGUGAAACGAGAUCACGGUUACAUGAACUGUACGGCGGAGCAUAUAGCGACAUGGAAGCCAUUUUCGGUGGAUCUGUGUUGCAGCGGUAGGGCCACUAGUAGUUGCUGAUUAGUGAAUGAGGCGACCACUGAGAAGAUCCUAAACAACUCGGCGA
Molecule: unclassified non-coding RNA, 712 nt
Filed under: Hevea brasiliensis (rubber tree)
Lineage: Eukaryota; Viridiplantae; Streptophyta; Magnoliopsida; Malpighiales; Euphorbiaceae
Source: RNAcentral